GAAGAGAAAAAAGCUCUGGCCAAGCCUCCUAGGUGCAAGUCACGCGUUGUGCGGUGCACGUGAUCGAUCGUUCACCGUUACUCUUUAAGCACUCGCCUUCUUUCUCUAUCUCUCUCUCUCAACCCAAUUUCCCGAGGUCAGCACAGCACAGCACUCUUCAACCAUCAAUCAUCCAUCGCCUUCUUCAUUUCACCACCGCGCGCACAAUUGCAAUUACAUUUCCACCCCCCAAAUUUCCCUUUCAGAAGAAAAAACCACCACCACCUCACCUCUGAUCCGUGCACCUCACGUGCCCAUGGCUCCUGCUACCUCCGAGCGCGUGGAGUUGGCCAGGCUCUGCGCCUCCAAGGACUGGUCCAAAGCCAUUCGAAUCCUCGAUUCCCUCGUUUCUCAUUCCAACGCAAUUCAAGACCUAUGCAACCGCGCGUUCUGUUACAGCAAAUUAGAGCUCCACAAGCACGUGAUUAAGGAUUGCGACAGAGCGCUUCAGCUUGACCCUACGCUUCUUCAAGCUUAUAUUCUCAAAGGUUCUGCGCUCUCUGUGUUGGGAAGGAAAGAAAAUGCUCUAUUGGUAUGGGAGCAGGGCUAUGAACAUGCUCUGCAUCAGUCUGCUGACUUGAAACAGCUGCUAGAACUUGAAGAGCUUAUAGCGACUGCAAAACAAGGCAACAAUACACUGUGUGAAAGUGAAACCCAUAGGUCGUUGCCACAAACCAAAUCAGUUUCUCUGAGUAAUGGGAGCUCUAGUGAAACUUGUAAGAUCCAAGAUACAUUGGGCACUCGGGCUGAAUUAUGUGGUGAUGCUACUGGUGAUAAAUCAGAGACAUGCCUAAAGUCUGCUGAUAAUUCCAACUUAAAGCAUGAAUCACAUGAUGAAUAUAGAGAGUCUAAUAAAUCUGAUGGCCAAGUGAAUGGAAGCCCUGAUGUUCUUGAUACACUUAGUUACAAUUCUGAAUCAUGUAAUGACUCAAGUGAUGCCUCAGAAUCAAGCGAUAAAGUAUCUACCAAUAGUGGUGACUCAGCUAAUGUCCCUAAAAUUUUUAGAAACCCAAUUAGUAAGUUUAUAUUUUCUGAUGAAAGAAAAGGUGAAGCAAGGAAAAAUAAGAAGUUCUGCGUUGCUCGGAUUUCAAAUACAAAUUCCAUUAGUGUAGAUUUUCGACUCUCAAGGGGUAUAGCAGAGGUUAAUGAAGGAAAAUAUGCUCAUGCCAUAUCCAUUUUUGACCAGAUACUGAAAAAGGACCCAGCUUAUCCUGAGGCACUAAUAGGAAGAGGUACAGCAUAUGCAUUCCAGAGGGAACUUGAUGCUGCUAUAGCUGAUUUUACAAAGGCUAUACAAUUUAAUCCAUUGGCUGGUGAGGCAUGGAAAAGGAGAGGUCAGGCCAGGGCAGCCUUGGGAGAGUUUGUUGAGGCUAUUGAAGACUUGACCAAGGCAUUAGAGUUUGAACCUGACACAGCAGAUAUUUUACAUGAGAGAGGAAUUGUCAAUUUCAAAUUUAAAGAGUUUGAUGCAGCUGUUGAAGACCUUUCAGCUUGCGUGAAGCUAGAUAAGGAUAAUACGUCUGCCUACACAUAUUUGGGUUUAGCAUUAUCUUCAAUUGGUGAAUAUAAGGAAGCUGAGGAAGCUCAUCUCAAAUCACUUCAACUUGACAAAAAUUUCCUUGAAGCAUGGGCACAUCUGACUCAGUUCUAUCAAGAUUUAGCUAAGCCAACAAAGGCUCAGGAAUGUAUAAAUAGGAUGCUACAUAUUGAUGGGAGGUUUGCAAGAGCUUAUCAUUUGCGUGGCCUUCUGUUCCAUGCAAUGGGUGAACACAGGAAGGCUAUCAAGGAUUUGACAAUGGGGUUGAGCAUUGAUGGCAGCAACAUUGAAUGUUUGUAUUUACGUGCUUCCUGCUACCAUGCUGUUGGACAAUACAAAGAAGCGGUCAAGGACUAUGAUGCUGCAUUGGAUUUGGAACUGGAUUCAAUGGACAAGUUCGUGCUUCAGUGCCUUGUCUUUUAUCAGAAAGAGAUUGCCCUGUACACAGCCUCAAAAUUUAAUGGUGAUUUUUGCUGGUUUGAUAUUGACGGGGAUAUUGAUGCUCUUUUUAAGGAAUACUGGUGCAAGAAAUUGCAUCCAAAGAAUGUAUGCGAAAAGGUUUUCAGGCAACCUCCUUUACGCGAGUCUUUAAGAAAGGGAAAGCUUAAAAAGCAAGAGUUUACUAUUACCAAGCAGAAGGCUGCUCUUCUACAGGCUUCAGACUCCAUUGGCAUGAAAAUCCAAUAUGAUUGUCCAGGAUUCCUACCUAAUAGACGCCAGCAUCGAAUGGCUGGACUUGCUGCUAUUGAAAUUGCACAAAAAGUCUCAAAGGCUUGGCGUUCCCUGCAUGCUGAAUGGAAAUAUUCGAAUAAAGGAAAUUCAAAGAAUGGGAGAAGGGCCAGGAGAAGGGAAAGAAUUAACAUGCCCAGUCAAAAUAGAGGAGGUGCUGGUUGUAGUACAAGCAGUACCUCAGUAACAUCUUCAAAUGGAACUGUAGAUGAUAGAUUAUCCAGCCGUACAUUUUCGUGGCACAAUGUUUACUCAUUAGCUGUUAGAUGGAGACAGAUUUCUGAGCCUUGUGAUCCUGUUGUAUGGGUGAACAAGCUAAGUGAUGAGUUUAAUGCUGGAUUUGGUUCUCACACACCUAUGAUUCUUGGGCAAGCCAGAGUUGUUCGUUACUUUCCUAAUUAUGAAAGAACGUUAGAAAUUGCAAAGACUGUAAUGAAAGAGAGAUCAUUUGUCCGCAGCAAAACAGACAAGAUCAUUCAUCUUUCCGAAGAUGGGAAAUUAGAAGAGAUUAUGCAUGCAAAAUCAUGUUCUGAUCUUUAUAAAGUUAUUGGUGAGGAUUUUUGGUUGGCUACCUGGUGCAACAGUACUGCAUUUGAAGGGAAGCAGCUUGAAGGAACUAGGAUAAACCUUGUAAAAAUGGGAGAGCAUGGUUUUGACUUUGCAAUCAAAACACCUUGUACCCCUGCUAGAUGGGAAGAUUUUGACGAAGAAAUGACAGUGGCAUGGGAAACUCUCUGCAAUGCUUACUGUGGUGAAAACUAUGGGUCUACUGACUUCGACACGCUUGAAAACGUGCGAGAUGCAAUUUUAAGGAUGACAUAUUACUGGUAUGACAUUUUAAAAAUGGUUAAAUUAUCUUUGAUUUUGUGCAUCUGAAAAUCAUUUCUGCAAAUCUGAUUGAACUGCUUUUCAGGUAUAACUUUAUGCCACUGUCUAGGGGAUCGGCAGGGGUUGGAUUUAUAGUUAUGCUGGGUUUGUUACUUGCUGCCAACAUGGAGUUCACAGGAAGCAUCCCACAGGGUUUGCAGGUUGAUUGGGAAGCCAUUUUGAACUUGGAUCCAAACUCGUUUGUGGAUUCGGUUAAAACGUGGCUGUAUCCAUCUCUGAAGGUCACAACCUCAUGGAAAGACUACCCUGAUAUUGCUUCAACAUUUGCAACAACAGGGUCGGCCAUUGCUGCUUUGAACUUUUCUUUUGAUGAUUGAACUCCUGUCUGUAAUUAUGACCGUGAGUUAGUUGCAUAUUAACUGUGACAAGUUUGUUACAUUGUAACCAUAUGUUAACGAUUAUACAAUAAAGUUUUUAUGGCAUUGGAUGACAAAUUACCAUUUCUAUUA
Molecule: RNA transcript, 3642 nt
Organism: Glycine soja
Lineage: Eukaryota; Viridiplantae; Streptophyta; Magnoliopsida; Fabales; Fabaceae
Gene name: suppressor of RPS4-RLD 1-like
Exons: 22
Source: RefSeq, a predicted model, not a curated record